GAUGAACGCUGGCGGCGUGCCUAAUACAUGCAAGUCGAGCGAACGGACGAGAAGCUUGCUUCUCUGAUGUUAGCGGCGGACGGGUGAGUAACACGUGGAUAACCUACCUAUAAGACUGGGAUAACUUCGUGAAACCGGAGCUAAUACCGGAUGAUAUUUUGAACCGCAUGGUUCAAAAGUGAAAGACGGUCUUGCUGUCACUUAUAGAUGGAUCCGCGCUGCAUUAGCUAGUUGGUAAGGUAACGGCUUACCAAGGCAACGAUGCAUAGCCGACCUGAGAGGGGGAUCGGCCACACUGGAACUGAGACACGGUCCAGACUCCGACGGGAGGCAGCAGUAGGGAAUCUUCCGCAAUGGGCGAAAGCCUGAAGGAGCAACGCCGCGUGAGUGAUGAAGGUCUUCGGAUCGUAAAACUCUGUUAUUAGGGAAGAACAUAUGUGUAAGUAACUGUGCACAUCGUGACGGUACCUAAUCAGAAAGCCACGGCUAACUACGUG
Molecule: ribosomal RNA, 497 nt
Filed under: uncultured bacterium
Lineage: Bacteria
Description: partial 16S ribosomal RNA
Rfam family: Bacterial small subunit ribosomal RNA
Source: RNAcentral